This 27-nucleotide non-coding RNA is filed under the name Mus musculus (house mouse). The record is from RNAcentral. Lineage: Eukaryota; Metazoa; Chordata; Mammalia; Rodentia; Muridae.
UUAGACCUCCAUCAAAGCACAGGUCCC